AGGCCAAAAACUCUUGAGACUUGUGAGUUAAAAGAGUCAUCCAAAGUCGAAUCAUAAACGUCUUUAGACAGGUGAUAAUAAUCAACUUCCAUAAUUCAAGAUCAUCUAACAGUUGUCAAAAUUUUACUAAGUUAUGUAGCAAAAUGUUGUCGAUGAUCAACCAAUGUCAUUCCACCGACAUUGGCUAGUGGUAAUUUCAGGUGUUUGUGUUGGUCGAAGGCAAGGUAAGUUGUCGAGUUAUCGUUUAGUUGAUGUCGGUAGGUUCGUUUAGGUCUUUUGGUAGGCAGACAGUUAAUUAAAUGACUAAUGUAAAUCAUAGGUGAUUGGUUGGUAUGGUGAUAUUCUGUCGGUCGACGAUAUUUUGUUAAUAGAUGGUUAGUCGAUGCUAUUGAUAUAUCUUUCUACAAGACUGCUUCUUUCACUAAAGUCCAGAUCCGAAGAACAACGAUAUUUGCAUUGCCGCAUUGGAGGGGAUGUAUCUUCGACAGCCAUGGGAUAGCUUGAGUUAGUGACAUCUCUGUUAGGAACUUAGAAUAGGAAACCGGGUUCUGGGUCAGGGUGGGUUGGGUGUUCGGGUUCGGGAAGGGAUCAUGGGCUAGUCCAAGACCAAAAGAAAAAAAAAUAAAAACCUCUGCAAUUGUUCUCUGCUGUACCGGAUUGCGCAUUACGACGUCGUUUAAGAAAGCGGUGAAAAAUUGAAAAUGGCUUCUGCACCUAGAAAAAGGAAAAAAAAAAAAAAAGAAAAGAAAAGAUGGUAUAAAUAGCGGUGACAACAAUAGCAAUUAGGAUUUAGGACCUACUUGCGGGGGCUUCCAUUCAUAGAGAGAUCACAGAUUUCAGAUUAGAGAAAGGUGAUUGUUUCAUGGAAACGACUUAACGUCAUAGGUAGAAGACUGGAGAUCCUACUGGUUAAUGAGAUAACCCUGUUUGGCAGGGUCCGAAGAGUGUAGAUGCAUCAACUUUCACAAUCAAUCUGUUAAAUUCAGAAUACUGCUAAUCUGCUAUCAGUAAAUUGAGGUUGAUAACUUGAUAUUAUUUGUUACUAAGAUAUAGUUUUUCAUUUUUUUUUAUCUGAAAAAAAGAGCUGAUAUUUGAGAUUACCAUUUAAUCACACUGAAGAGUUUUAUUUUUAAUUCUUUCCUUAUUGAGAAAAUGCAACUUCCCUGAAAUUUCUGGUUGCAGUAUCAAUCUCAUGCCUCUUUAUUUUGGCAAUAACAGUCUUUUGUCCCUUCUUGUUUGGAUUUUUUGUUUCCUAUUUUCAGUUAAUAUUCUGGACGUUUCAGUUCAACUUAAGGUUUCAAGAAAACUCAGUGUUAACUGUUAUGCCGUUAUGGUGAUAAGUCUUGAGUAUCAUUUAUCUGAUCUCAGUCAAUUGACACACACUUAUUGUAGUUAUCAUUCAUAUCAGUAACUUUCCUUUUAAGGGAUGCUGUAAUAAUAUAUAAGAAAUCCAUUGUAGGAUUGCAUAUUUCUCUUCUUGGAAAAGUGGGGUUAUGAAAGCCAAUUAUCUGGUUGCAUCAUCAUUCAUUCAUUCAUUCGUCAAAGAGUGCGUAGCUAACUGGAAAACUAACAUGUCAGCAUCACUUCUGGAUAUUCUGAUUGUUGAAUCAUUUACUAAUCAUUUUCUCAUUCGAUACGCAAUCCUGUUUUUGAUUAUUCUCUAGAGAUAAAGUGAUACAUUGACAGUUAUUUUGAAUCAGAUGGAGCAGUAAUUACUUAUAGUCAUUGGGUAUAUAUAUUUUUUUCUAACUGUACUUAGGUUAAAAUGUUUUGACUUUUGAUCAUUCCAUACUUGUCUUCCACUGAAUUUUCAGAUUGGAGUUAAUUUGAAUUACAUGAAGGAUGUUGGAGAAUUUAAACUGCAUGUGUAAAAAGAGCAUUUCUUUGGUGAAGAAAGGGCUAAAGUGGCAUCAGCAUUACAUGAAAGGGGUGGCAAGGGUGACACAAAUAGAAAGAAUGAUGAUCCUAGAGUCUGUGGACACAGUAACAGUGAUGUUGAUGGUGCCAUGUGAGUGCUUUGUUGUACAAUUGUUUUUAUUUGUAAUGAAAUUGAAAGAACACUGUUGUAUAUAAUAUCAUAUGGUGAUAGAAUGUGUUUCAAUUCAUUUGCAUUCUUUUUUCUUUUUCUUUUUCUUUUUCAAAAUCUUGUCAUCUUUGUCUUAAUCCUAUCACCCGAGUAACAUUAUUGAUGAGUUGACAAAACGUGCUUCCAAGAUAUUACUUUAGCUUGGUAAUAACAAAGCAAGGUUCCUUU
Molecule: non-coding RNA, 2254 nt
Organism: Arachis ipaensis
Lineage: Eukaryota; Viridiplantae; Streptophyta; Magnoliopsida; Fabales; Fabaceae
Source: RefSeq, a predicted model, not a curated record